Molecule: long non-coding RNA, 2301 nt
Organism: Dermochelys coriacea (leatherback sea turtle)
Lineage: Eukaryota; Metazoa; Chordata; Testudines; Dermochelyidae
Exons: 2
Source: RefSeq, a predicted model, not a curated record
CAUAAACUGUAUAAGUACACAAACAGCCAGGAUAUAAAAACCGCACUGAAUUGCAACAAACUGGGACCAAAUCUGCAAAACUGUACCCAGGAAGGGUAAAGUAUCAAUCUUUGCUUGUGUUCUGUAAAAUCCUGAUUAAUCUUAGAUGUAUAGUCUUUGAUUAAUAAAUUGAUUGAGCUUAAUUUGAUGUCUUGUUGAUCAGUGAUACAAAUCUAAUCCCUCUUACAAUUUUGUCCUACUUCAGGAAAUGUGUAGGAACUUUAUAUCUUACUUCUGCAAGAAGAGAGAGAGCUUGAACACUGUAUAUUGAGGGAGCAGAGGCGGACACCAUUGAAGAUGGUAUGAGUGAAGCAUCUGAAAAAAGACAAAAUGUUUGAUUUGCAUUUUGAAGCAGAACUUAUUGUGGCAAACCUGUAAGUUUCAGGAUUUGUUUGGUUUCCAUGUGGGUUAUACCUUGCAUAGUGAGUUGCAGUGAAGUACUGCUGGGAACCCUGCCAGCUCCUCAUACACAUGCCCACCCUUGAUCUUACAGGGAUUAUACAUUGUAUCAUUUUAAACUUCCUUAAAGCCUUAAACAUAGGCCAGUUUCCAAUAAACGGGUGUUAACAGAGCUAGCAUGUCUGCGGAUACAAGCUUCUAUCCUCAGAUCUUUAAGUUAUAGGAUUUGAAAAAGAAGAGUAAAUGAUCAAUUAUUGGGGACAGACAAUGCACUGUCGGUCACGUUACACAUGCCCAUUAUACAAGUAUCGAUGAUUUGAAAAUUCUGCAGCCUCUAUCUGAAUGCUUUACAUUUAGCAAAGACCUUAGGAAAAACGAAAAAUUUACUAGAAAACGCUUAUUCAGCAAUGUUCCUUAGUCAAAAAGAGGCAUAUUUUUCCCAGAUUAUUUGAAUGGAUUUAUACCCUCUGAACAAAGGGUAUAAAAGGCAACUUGUACUGACCUGUAACUCUCCAUUUCCUACUCUACUGCGAAUCAAGUGAAGGUCCAAACAGAAGGAAAGGAGGGCAGCUUGUGGACUACCCACAGGGACCACACAUCUCAAAGAACUUCAGUGAUUAUAAGGUAAGUAAUGCUCCUUUCUUCAAGUGCUGGUCCCUAUGGGUAUUCACAGUGGGUGAUUCCAAAGCAAUGCUCAUCAAGGCGGAGGAUGCAAGAAGUGUUCCGCACCACAGAUUGAGAGAUCACUGAACCAAAAGAAGUUUCCUUGAAAGAAGCCUGAACCAGGGCAUAAUGCCUAGUAAAAGGGAAAAAAGAAGAAGAAGUGAAUGCCUAAUCUGCUGCUCUACAGACCACCGAGAGGGGAAUUCCAGAAAGGAAGCCACCGAGGCAGCCUGAGCUCCAGGUGAGUGAGCCGUGACAGUCUGAAGAAGGGAUGCAGCCUGAAAUCCAUUGAGAGCGCCUUUGGGAAGACUGCUUCUUCCUUCAUACUUCUUGGCAAUGGAGAUUCACUCCGAUAAUUAUAUAGCAUGUGUGGGGGUUAAAACGGACUUUUCUGGAUUUUACUUGAAGUCCCAAGGAGUGAAAGUAGUGACUGCAGCCUGCACUUCCUGAUACGACCAUCCCAUGAGCAGCCAAUGCUCUAGGUAGGAACCUCCUGGGGUAUCUUGUUGAUGCAGGUUGUUACUGGAAUCACCAUGGGGAAACCCAAGGAUUGCAAGCAAGAAGCCUGGCUCAUAACUAUCAAGGUUGCCAUGGAACAGGAAGCCACGUCCUCUGCAUUGAGUGAUGCUUGAAUGGACAAUCUGGCAACCAGUUUCCCUUUGUCCAGAAUGGCCUGGAAUUGGGGCCCAUGUUCCUGUAGUAUCUUAUUAGCAAAUUACGACAGUAUAUUGUAAUUAAUAAAGUCAUAUUUGGACAUUAAUUCCUGGUAAUUUGCUAUUUGCAGUUUCAGUUCAAAUGCUCUGUGUAAAUCAAAUGCUCUGUAUAAAUCAAUCCUGUUUUGUGUGUGAAUGAGGAAUGUGUGUGUUAGAAGAUAAGUGUGAAGGCCAUCACUGGACCAGAUGGUCUAGGGAGGAACCGAGAACAGACGUAAGGGCGCCAGGAGAUUGCAACAUGUCCCUAUUGAAAUGUCAGAGGAGGACAGAUUGACCACUCUAAAAAUGAGACAGGCAUCUAUCAAAGGGGACAAGAUAGCUGUAAUCAAAACCAGCAUGGGAUAACUCCCUGAGAGACUUAAUGAAAGAACAAGAUAAAGAAUGAGAAGGACAAUUUAAGAAAACAAGCACUCAUCAAACAACGAUUGAGUACAGCAUGAUGGUGCAAAAUUCAUUGGUCCCAAUGAAGGAAAAUCACUAUAUAAAC